AAUAAUAUCACUUAUUUUGACACAAUACAUUAUUAUGUAGAUGGUUUUUAUUGUUAUAAAUGUUCCCUGUUCAAUAUAUUGAUAUUCAAUUUAAUUUACAAUAAGUAAACAAAUGUAUGUUGUUAUUUUCAUGAGAUUGAUUGAUUGUUGUUUGGUUAAUGUCAAGUGGCAAAUAUUUCAUGCAAAUUCAGGAAGAGUAUUGAAACGAGAGGCUCUUUAAUUGGUAAAUACUUUUAUUCAAUUGUAACAAUAGUUAAUAUGAAAAAUCGUACAUUUUAGUAACGUGUCAGGAAGAGGAAAUUCAGCUUAAAACCAAAUUUGGAAAUAAAUUUCACAGGACUGGUGCAAAAUGUAGAGCUGAAUGUUUGGUUUUUAUGUUUUUUUUUUUUUUUUUUUAUAAAAGUCUCUUCAUAUAUAUUUAGUCUGACAAUACUCAGUCAUUGUUUUUUAUUCCAUCAUUUAGCAUUCGUAUCUCUUUUUCACAUUAGAUUAUUUUUUUUACUAUAAUGGCAUUUGACUGUAUGGAGCUGACUGUUAAAGUCUAUAUGUUCUUAAACCUCAAUCUAAUUGAAGUUUUAUUAAUUUUCGUAACCAAUCUUACAAAAAAAAAGUCAUGUUAUUGUCUGAGAACUUCUGAGGCAGAAAUGAAAAAUAAUGCUUUACUAUUCGGACUUGUCCUAUGGCAGCCAGACAAGUUAAUAUAGGAUAAUGUCUUUUUCUAAUCAAAUCGUGUAAAUUUCAUUACGUGAAAAAAAUAACUCGGUAUUCAGCUUCUAAUCCAGUUGUCUACUUUCUUAUAACCAUAAGUAACAAAACGAAAGUGAAUAAGCGAUGAAAAACACCUUAUUUUGUAAAUAACCGAUGUUCUAAAACCCAGCUAAUCAGGUUUAUGACCCCACCGUACACUACAACCAACAAAGGAAUCACAACAAUAUUUACAAGAUUUAAUCAAUCAAUC
Molecule: long non-coding RNA, 958 nt
Filed under: Mytilus galloprovincialis (Mediterranean mussel)
Lineage: Eukaryota; Metazoa; Mollusca; Bivalvia; Mytilida; Mytilidae
Source: RNAcentral